GUGACCCUACGGGAGGCAGCAGUGGGGAAUAUUGGGCAAUGGGCGAAAGCCUGACCCAGCAACGCCGCGUGAAGGAAGAAGGCUUUCGGGUUGUAAACUUCUUUUGACAGGGAAGAGCAGAAGACGGUACCUGUCGAAUAAGCCACGGCUAACUACGUGCCAGCAGCCGCGGUAAUACGUAGGUGGCAAGCGUUGUCCGGAUUUACUGGGUGUAAAGGGCGUGUAGCCGGGCUGACAAGUCAGAUGUGAAAUCCGGGGGCUCAACCCCCGAACUGCAUUUGAAACUAUUGGUCUUGCGUAUCGGG
Molecule: ribosomal RNA, 305 nt
Filed under: uncultured bacterium
Lineage: Bacteria
Description: bacterial SSU rRNA
Rfam family: Bacterial small subunit ribosomal RNA
Source: RNAcentral